GCUUAUUCUCAGGGCGGGGCGAAAUUCCCCACCGGCGGUAAAUCAGCCAACGCUGAAAGCCCGCGAGCGCUCCACGCACGGCAUCACGUCCUGCAUGGAGGUCAGCAGAUCCGGUGUAAUUCCGGGGCCGACGGUUAAAGUCCGGAUGGGAGAGAGUAACG
Molecule: regulatory RNA element, 161 nt
Rfam family: FMN riboswitch aptamer (RFN element)
About the family: The RFN element is a highly conserved domain that is found frequently in the 5'-untranslated regions of prokaryotic mRNAs that encode for flavin mononucleotide (FMN) biosynthesis and transport proteins. This element is a metabolite-dependent riboswitch that directly binds FMN in the absence of proteins.
Source: Rfam